RNAcentral lists this ribosomal RNA (254 nucleotides) under uncultured bacterium. Its description in RNAcentral is "partial 16S ribosomal RNA". It matches the Rfam family "Bacterial small subunit ribosomal RNA", at positions 524 to 776 of the family's 1533-position model. The record is from RNAcentral.
UACAGAGGGUGCAAGCGUUGUUCGGAAUUACUGGGCGUAAAGCGCGUGUAGGUGGCGAUGUAAGUCGGGUGUGAAAUCCCUUGGCUUAACCAAGGAAGUGCAUUCGAUACUGUGUCGCUUGAGUGUUGGAGGGGGGUGGCGGAAUUCCCGGUGUAGAGGUGAAAUUCGUAGAUAUCGGGAGGAACACCUGUGGCGAAGGCGGCCACCUGGACAACUACUGACACUGAGACGCGAAAGCGUGGGUAGCAAACAGG